RNAcentral lists this ribosomal RNA (2824 nucleotides) under Triticum aestivum (bread wheat). Its description in RNAcentral is "partial small subunit ribosomal RNA". Lineage: Eukaryota; Viridiplantae; Streptophyta; Magnoliopsida; Poales; Poaceae. The record is from RNAcentral.
GAGUCAUAUGAUCUGAGCUACGGAAAGUCAGCCAUCCAAGCACCUUGCUCGCUGGUAACUAAAAAUAAGGGGGUGGUAACUAGGGCACUGUAUUGGUACGGAAAGUCAUGUGUAACCGUUCUCUCUCAAAAGCGAACUAUUGAGGGUUCUUCAUGUGUUUGUUUCUCUGUCUCCGAAAGAACGCGGUGGCGUUGCAGGCUAGCUCGUUCGUUUGCCUACGUGUUCGGUACGGAGAGGUCGAGAAGGUGAACCGGUGGGACAAGGAAGAGGAGCGCCGGUGGCAGACACGGCUGCUGCCAGCCGUCAAGCGGAUGUUACCGAAACGCCCGUCCUCGGAGCUGGAGCUGCCGCGCCGGCUCCAGUGCGGGUCGCCGGAGGAGUACGACUGGUUACCGUGAUAGGUCGUCUUUCCGGUGCGGAAGGUGGGCAGGGGCCACGGCGAGGCGCGGCGCGCGAGGAAGAGCUGCCGGAAGCAGAAGCGGUAGAAGCCCGUCAUGUAACUGGAGUCGUCGGGGCCGUACCGGAAGAAGCAGUGGUGCAGGUUCCUCCACGAGCGGUGGCGCGACGGCCCGGUCAAGGAGCCGGAGGAGUUGCGGUGGUUGUUGUGGUUGGGGUUGCGGGUGUAGAAGCGGCACCUCGAGCUGUGGGAGGAGUUGAGGCUCACGGCCCUGUACUUAUCGUUGGUGCAGCCGCAGCUGCAGCUGUCGUACCACAGCGCUCGUAGGCGGCUGCGGCCGAUGAUGCUGCUGCGGUGCCCGGCCAAGGUCUUGGACUCGGACUAGUCGUCCGUCCGCUACGUCCAGACCCACCUGAUGCUACCGCGCCGUCGGCUCUAGUGCCACUGGUACCGAGGGGACCCGCAGCGGUCCGGGUUCUGCGGGGACGACGCCUGGCGGCACUUGGAGAGCCGGCACCACGUCGUGGUCCUGUGCCGCAUGCAGCCCAAGAGCAGCCGGUGGCCUUAGGAGAAACGCGCGGUGAAGCAGCAGCCAACCUCGAAGCGCGACCUGCCCGGCCGCGGCUGCGACUUGUAGAGGAGGAACGGGCGGGACGGCGGGUGGCCCGGGUUCGGUGCCAGGUCCCACGACCUCUAGCACGACGGGUAUCGCAGCCGCUGCCACCAAGACCGGCAGCCGUAGCGGCGAAUGUAGAAUCAGGCUGCCGCUGAGUCCAUGCGCCUCCAGGCCCUCCUGACCCUCCAGCGGAAGCCUGGGGUCGGGAAGAGGAUGUUCCUGGACAUGGUCCGCUGGUUCCCCAAGUCGCUCUGGUUGGAGGAGCCGCGCCCUCCGAAACCUUCGCAGAUGUUCCCGCACGAGGCGUUCGGGCUGUACCUGUGCCUCCACCGGCAGUUCGCCCACAGCGUGGUCAGCUCCGUCCCCUACUUCCUCAAGCAGCGCCUCCAGCGCUCGUACGCGGCCGACGUGGUGGCGUUGGAGCACGUCGACGAGCCGAUAACGGCCGCUUUCCCCCUCGAAGAGAACCAGAUGCUAGUGUACGGUUUACCGUCGGAUCUGUUUAUGGAGGUACUAGGGUCGGGACCGUUCCGAUGUAACCUCACCGGAGUCUCCAACGUGUAGUAGUCCCCUCACCGAAGUCCCAAUAGGAUGGAGGUACUCCCAACCCUCGUCUAGCAGUAGGUAGCUCUGCAGUUCCGUUCGUUGCACGAGAACCUACCGCUCUACUUGCCCGCCGAUCCCCUAAAGCCGGAUCGUUCCGAGAUGCUGGUACCCAGGCUACGCGCCUGGUGUGUGCACCAGCCGUGGUACCCGAUGGAUCGGGGACUUGAUCCUGUGUGGCCGUUCCGUUGGGGCCGAUGGCUACAGAAGCGGAAGCCACGCAAGGAGGACCUCCAGUGGACACCCGCCUCCGGCUAGCUCCUUCUGCUCCUUUUGUUGGCGCAGUACGAGCACCUGACCCAACGGCUUGUAACCGCAGUCCCAACGUAGUGAUUCCGCCGUCUGUAAUCCUACGGUUUGUCGAACCCAGAACUGGUCCAGAGAGAUCAGGAUUUUGAGCCCGAAAACACGAGGGUAGGAAACGGGUUGCGUUCCGGUUGGUAUGCUGUUCAGUACGUCAUGGAGCUACCGCUGUACGGGGAGGGCCUCAAAAGUGGUCUCAUGGAGCCGAGUUGGUACGACCUCGUCUACAUGUCGCGCCUCAAAAAAUUGUUCUUACGUUACAGUAUGCACAGUAACCCACAGUAAAGGCUAGAGAGGCCUCCUUCCACUGUUUCCACUUACGGCACGGUUUUAUUGACUACUCAACCUGAAGAUUAUGAACAUAUAGGGACAUUCUGCAUUGAUCGUGAUGAAUCAUCUUCAAACAAACUACAAAACUAUAAAUUAAAACUUACUAACAUUACCAAAUGAAAGAAAAACGUCUACGUAGAAAUAUUGUUUGUCCACAUAGUACGUACGAUGGACGAAUACUAUCCGCAAAGAAUUGUCUAAGUACAAAUACGUAUCAUCUACACGUACAUAAUCAUGAAGAACAUACAAAGGUCACUCUAGUCCUGAGAAAAGUUAUCUUAUAAAAGAAACAGCGAUCGUUACACGAUGGAUAGUCUAGUCUUGAAACUUAGGGAAUGAAAAGAUGCAAGGAUGAAACUAAAGUUGUAGACUGCUCCUGAUAAAGUAAAUAGAUAAAACUAACUACAAUUAUACAACGGAGUUUGUUACUAGCAAGCAGUUGUCAUGAUCUCGAUACUGAAAAUCGGUGAUGUAUUCCACCAACCAACGAUUUUCAGGUUUGUACUAAUGAUGGUUGUGAUGAACCAGAGAAGUACCGCCGAUAUCGUAUCAGAGAUGUCUAUAAACCCCUGGUG